This 316-nucleotide ribosomal RNA is filed under the name uncultured bacterium. RNAcentral's name for it is "bacterial SSU rRNA". It matches the Rfam family "Bacterial small subunit ribosomal RNA", at positions 28 to 334 of the family's 1533-position model. The record is from RNAcentral.
GACGAGCGCUGGCGGCGUGCCUAAUACAUGCAAGUCGAGCGGACCGAAGGGAGCUUGCUCUUUUAGGUUAGCGGCGGACGGGUGAGUAACACGUAGGCAACCUGCCCUCAAGACUGGGAUAACUACCGGAAACGGUAGCUAAUACCGGAUAAUUUCUUUCCUCUCCUGAAGAGAGAAUGAAAGGCGGAGCAAUCUGCUGCUUGGGGAUGGGCCUGCGGCGCAUUAGCUAGUUGGUGGGGUAAUGGCUCACCAAGGCGACGAUGCGUAGCCGACCUGAGAGGGUGAACGGCCACACUGGGACUGAGCCACGGCCCAG